Molecule: long non-coding RNA, 7081 nt
Filed under: Olea europaea (common olive)
Lineage: Eukaryota; Viridiplantae; Streptophyta; Magnoliopsida; Lamiales; Oleaceae
Description: long non-coding RNA (OEUR_LNC007498)
Source: RNAcentral
CAACACCCAGAACGGCGUCUUCCAUGAAUUCAACCCUCAAAAUUUUAAUAAUCAACAGAUCAGUAAUCUGCCUAACGAUCCGUUCAUGGUGGAUCCUCGAUUUUACCCUCAGGACCACCAGAUAGUUGGCCCGCAGAGGCCUACCUCCAGCGGCAUGAGCAGCACCGUCGAGUCGUUUAGUGGACCCAGGCAGCUGGCACCUCCGCAACUUAUUCAGCCGCAAAGGAGAUAUCCCAGGUCGCCGCCGAUGUCUCCUGACGACUGUCACAGCGACUGUGAUUCCUCCUCCUCCGUUGUGGAUGAUGGUGAAUGCGACGUCGCCGCCUCCUUAUGUAAAAAGCCUUUACCUUUCGACCUCAACUUCCCGCCGCCAAUGGACGCUUAUGGUGUAGACUCUGACGUGUGCGACCUAGCUUGCACGGCCCUCCGACUUUGAUGUUGUGUCCUGAUGACGACCAAAUCAUUUGGAAAACUCAUCUAGUUAAAUUACUUAUUUCUUUUCCUUUUUUUAAUUUUUUGUUUUUAUUUUGCGGAGGAAAACCCUAAAAAAAUGAAAAAAAAAAUGCUCAUAGCUAGGGUAAAGCCUUUGGUGAGAUAAAAACUAAAGUGGGUUGGAGGUCAGGCUGCUAUGGGUAUCCUGUUGUUUGAAGAGGAUUUACUUGAAUUAGAUUUAUAAAAUUGAUGUUAUGGAAAAUAGAGGAUAUUAUGAUGGAUGGAUAUUCAGUGUCCCUUUGUGAUAUUAUUGUCUUUCGAUGAUUGCGUGUCAUCGACUGUCCUAUUGACUUCUUUGGAAUGUAUAUGAAAUCUGUUGUCGAAGACUUGUGUAUUGUUUUAUUUACUUUUAAAACUAGAUGUAAGAACGUCUACUAUCUAUUUGUUAUGUGUCGUUUCUGGAUUUUUUUCUUGCUGAUUUAUGAAAUCCAUUUUCGGAUCUUUUAAUGUAAAAAUGGAAGUCUCAUCUCAUUCAAUGCUACAAGAACGACUACUUAUGCUGCACUUGUGCGAUAAAUUUUGUUCCAUGUUAUGUUCAUUUCAUUUGUUUCAUAUGGUUUGCCAUUCUUUUGGAUGAUUUGAGCUGCAAGUUGUUUGCUAGCUUUAUAUACAUCUCAUGUGAUUAACAUGUUGGUCAUUAGCUAUCCGGAUGGACUGGUGUAACUUUAGUUUUUCUUGCAGGCUUGUUUGAAUUGUUGUCCUGUCUGCAUUUUUAGUUUGGUAUGGCUCAGUAGUAAGAUUUGAUGUACUGGCUUAUCUGAGCUUUUACUACUUAGGUUUGCUACUAUCUAUUGAUUCUGAUAUGCUUGAAGGUAUCAUGAGUUAUGAAAGCAAUCUUCUUAGCUUUUUGUCAAGUUCAAGUUUUUGCCUUUGUGCUUUUGUGCUUAACAAUAACCCUAUCUCUUCCUCGAGGUGUAGGGAGCUUUAUGCUAUCUCUUUUUUGUUUUUACAUGGUUCAUGCCCAAGACUUGUGCAUGAGGUUUCCUCUUUGUUUAAAAUCACUGCAUUCAAGUUUAACGUGUUUGAUGACUUUCGGGUAACAGUUUCUUAUGGUUAGAUUUCUAUAAUGAUUAGAUAUGUGUGGAUAAAUUCAUUUCCUGUACAUUUAUACUGGCAGAUCAAUAUGGUUAGAUUUUAUGGAUGAUUGGUCAUUAAUAUGCCGUUACUGGUUUACAACCUGCAUUGUCCAUGUCGCGACAAAAUAGAAGCAGAUUGGAAUUUAAUACCGUUUACUUAAAAGUAGCUAUUCAUCAGAAUAUCUCCUAAGCCUCCUUUUAAGAUGCUAAAUUGACUGCAAUAUUGAUCGAUUAAUACCUUUUUAGCAUGUUUGUUAGUGUUCUCAGUCAUUUUAUCGUGUUUAUUUCUUUUCAUGCUACGUUAUACAGUCAUUUGUAUGCAAGUUCUUUACACAUUCACUACCUCAAUUCUUUAUUGCAAAUUCUUUCCCGUAAUGGGGGCCAAACAGGGGCUUAAAAUGAAGUUUAACCAUUAUCAUUCAUCACCUAUUAUAAAGUGUCACGUACUUAUCAUAAACUAAGUACGGAAGUUUAGUUUUAGCCCUGGUUUGAGUCACAUUAUUGGAAUGAAAAUGUAUUUUUAAAUAGUGUAAUAAUGAAAAAUAUGUGGUUAAAAAAUAAAUAAAAAUUUUGAUGUACGUAUAAUAAUAUUUUAUCGAAAAAUGUGUGAUUGAAAUGAUUUCAAACAUUAUUCAAAAAUAUAUUUUUUUCAAAAAAUAUGGUUCAAAUAAGCCUAAAUUAAAAAGUUGUUUUGGUCUUUUCAUAAAGGCGGAGAAAUCGAGAAACCAAAAGAAAUCCACCCGAAAAAAGGAAAAAAAAAUUCAAAAAAAAAAAAACUCUGCUCUCUCUCUCCACCCAUUUCUAAAGGUUGAACCCCAAUCUUAGGGGCCCCCACUGAUCCUGUCCUGGGUCAUCGUGGAGGAGGUAAAUCGCAGGAUGUGCCUCUCAGGAGCCAGGGUAGAGAGCAUAUGAAUAGGCCAAGGCUGUUAACCCAUAUGGUAACUCCCGCUUGCAACAAAAUCAAUUCCACCUUGCGGGGAAUCGAACUCUGCACACUGCAGCGCUGAGUCCUAUCCGCUCUCCCCUUUGCCACUGGGAGAUAUGCCUGGGGGCCUCUCCACCCAUUUCUCUUUACACGCACAGUAGAGAGAGAAAAAAUUAUCGCAAUCUGGUCUUUCUCCCUGAUUUUGUUUGGUUUUUUGUACAUAUUUAUUUAUUCUCUCUCUAAUCUAUUUCUAAAGCCUUUUCUUGUGAGAGAAAGAUUUGUUUGUUUUCCUUCUCGGAAAUUAUAUUUUUGCUGCUGUAUCGAUCGAAUCUGACAAUGAGGCGAGGCAGAGGAGCGACGGCGGCGGCAAGGCAAAUGGCGGCGAACGGCAGAGAGGCCAACGGAUCUGGAGGAUCUAAGGAGAUCAAAUUUCGGGGAGUGAGAAAGAGACCAUGGGGAAAAUUUGCUGCAGAGAUCAGAAACCCUUGGAAGAAGACUGGGGUGUGGCUAGGUACGUUUGAUUCUGCUGAAGACGCGGCUAGGGCCUACGACGCUGCUGCUCUAUCUCUCCGGGGCCACAAGGCUAAGACGAACUUUCCGUUAUCCAACACCCAGAACGGCGUCUUCCAUGAAUUCAACCCUCAAAAUUUUAAUAAUCAACAGAUCAGUAAUCUGCCUAACGAUCCGUUCAUGGUGGAUCCUCGAUUUUACCCUCAGGACCACCAGAUAGUUGGCCCGCAGAGGCCUACCUCCAGCGGCAUGAGCAGCACCGUCGAGUCGUUUAGUGGACCCAGGCAGCUGGCACCUCCGCAACUUAUUCAGCCGCAAAGGAGAUAUCCCAGGUCGCCGCCGAUGUCUCCUGACGACUGUCACAGCGACUGUGAUUCCUCCUCCUCCGUUGUGGAUGAUGGUGAAUGCGACGUCGCCGCCUCCUUAUGUAAAAAGCCUUUACCUUUCGACCUCAACUUCCCGCCGCCAAUGGACGCUUAUGGUGUAGACUCUGACGUGUGCGACCUAGCUUGCACGGCCCUCCGACUUUGAUGUUGUGUCCUGAUGACGACCAAAUCAUUUGGAAAACUCAUCUAGUUAAAUUACUUAUUUCUUUUCCUUUUUUUAAUUUUUUGUUUUUAUUUUGCGGAGGAAAACCCUAAAAAAAUGAAAAAAAAAAAUGCUCAUAGCUAGGGUAAAGCCUUUGGUGAGAUAAAAACUAAGGUGGGUUGGAGGUCAGGCUGCUAUGGGUAUCCUGUUGUUUGAAGAGGAUUUACUUGAAUUAGAUUUAUAAAAUUGAUGUUAUGGAAAAUAGAGGAUAUUAUGAUGGAUGGAUAUUCAGUGUCCCUUUGUGAUAUUAUUGUCUUUCGAUGAUUGCGUGUCAUCGACUGUCCUAUUGACUUCUUUGGAAUGUAUAUGAAAUCUGUUGUCGAAGACUUGUGUAUUGUUUUAUUUACUUUUAAAACUAGAUGUAAGAACGUCUACUAUCUAUUUGUUAUGUGUCGUUUCUGGAUUUUUUUCUUGCUGAUUUAUGAAAUCCAUUUUCGGAUCUUUUAAUGUAAAAAUGGAAGUCUCAUCUCAUUCAAUGCUACAAGAACGACUACUUAUGCUGCACUUGUGCGAUAAAUUUUGUUCCAUGUUAUGUUCAUUUCAUUUGUUUCAUAUGGUUUGCCAUUCUUUUGGAUGAUUUGAGCUGCAAGUUGUUUGCUAGCUUUAUAUACAUCUCAUGUGAUUAACAUGUUGGUCAUUAGCUAUCCGGAUGGACUGGUGUAACUUUAGUUUUUCUUGCAGGCUUGUUUGAAUUGUUGUCCUGUCUGCAUUUUUAGUUUGGUAUGGCUCAGUAGUAAGAUUUGAUGUACUGGCUUAUCUGAGCUUUUACUACUUAGGUUUGCUACUAUCUAUUGAUUCUGAUAUGCUUGAAGGUAUCAUGAGUUAUGAAAGCAAUCUUCUUAGCUUUUUGUCAAGUUCAAGUUUUUGCCUUUGUGCUUUUGUGCUUAACAAUAACCCUAUCUCUUCCUCGAGGUGUAGGGAGCUUUAUGCUAUCUCUUUUUUGUUUUUACAUGGUUCAUGCCCAAGACUUGUGCAUGAGGUUUCCUCUUUGUUUAAAAUCACUGCAUUCAAGUUUAACGUGUUUGAUGACUUUCGGGUAACAGUUUCUUAUGGUUAGAUUUCUAUAAUGAUUAGAUAUGUGUGGAUAAAUUCAUUUCCUGUACAUUUAUACUGGCAGAUCAAUAUGGUUAGAUCUUAUGGAUGAUUGGUCAUUAAUAUGCCGUUACUGGUUUACAACCUGCAUUGUCCAUGUCGCGACAAAAUAGAAGCAGAUUGGAAUUUAAUACCGUUUACUUAAAAGUAGCUAUUCAUCAGAAUAUCUCCUAAGCCUCCUUUUAAGAUGCUAAAUUGACUGCAAUAUUGAUCGAUUAAUACCUUUUUAGCAUGUUUGUUAGUGUUCUCAGUCAUUUUAUCGUGUUUAUUUCUUUUCAUGCUACGUUAUACAGUCAUUUGUAUGCAAGUUCUUUACACAUUCACUACCUCAAUUCUUUAUUGCAAAUUCUUUUUUUAGUCGUUCCCUUCUUAAUUGUUUGAACCGGCCUAUCCUUCUGCACAGCAGAAAUUUGUUUCUUCGAAUUUUCAUUAGGAUAAGCAAAGUGCAUUGUAAAAUUGUAAGUUAGCAAAUCCAUUUUUUUGUUCCUCGUGAGGAUCAGUGUUCUAUCUGUUCUGCUCUGUUCAUUUGGUAGGUUAUGAUGUGUUCAUUCUUACAUCAUUGGGUGCAUGUAUUUAUCAUGGCAUUGACAGCACCAUUAUAAUGAAAGCAGAUUCUCAGGUUUCAAUGUAAACCGCGCGAUCACUGUGAAUUUUUGUUUGGUUCAUAGCAUUGAUCACUUGUUAUGAAUUUUCUGUUUGUUGUAGCAUGAUUUCUUGUUGAUGCGACCUGUGCUUCUGGUCGAUAACCCGAACUUAUCCAUUUUUGUUCAUUCUGAACAAUGUGAAAAUAUAGUAGUUCUUGAUUUUAACCCUAGAACACACCUUGGUUUUAUGUUUGACCACUUGGAAAGUGUAUAUUGUCGUGCUUGGGUAAAUGGGUAGUGCAAAGCACAAACAUGUAGGUUGUAGCUUUUAAGACUAUGCCUGGCCAACCACUUUCACUCUUUUUCUAACCGGCCAAAUAUAUUAGCCCUACCGGUCACGCGUCUUUCGUUCAAAAUUUGAACGCUAUUAAUAUUGAAUGGUACUAGUAUAUUCGUUCAUAUUUACCAACCAAUAAUUAUAUUCUAUCAUCUUUUCAAUCAUUUUUCUUAAAAAAUUCAAAUUUUAAUUUCAAUCAUACAUUUAAAAUUAUUGUUCAUUAUUAUCUACACAAUAUGUGCCCGAGACAUCUAACACCUCUCAUGAAUUAUUUUAAUUUUUGAACUCAAAUAAAUAGUAACUACAUAAAGGUAUAUUUCCCAAGCGAGGACAUAUCACUCAACACCACCACGCAAAUUACAGUAUUUGAUGCCUUCAAUUUUGAUAGCGCUGAGUCCUAUCCGCUCUCCCCUUUGCCACUGGGAGAUAUGCCUGGGGGCCUCUCCACCCAUUUCUCUUUACACGCACAGUAGAGAGAGAAAAAAUUAUCGCAAUCUGGUCUUUCUCCCUGAUUUUGUUUGGUUUUUUGUACAUAUUUAUUUAUUCUCUCUCUAAUCUAUUUCUAAAGCCUUUUCUUGUGAGAGAAAGAUUUGUUUGUUUUCCUUCUCGGAAAUUAUAUUUUUGCUGCUGUAUCGAUCGAAUCUGACAAUGAGGCGAGGCAGAGGAGCGACGGCGGCGGCAAGGCAAAUGGCGGCGAACGGCAGAGAGGCCAACGGAUCUGGAGGAUCUAAGGAGAUCAAAUUUCGGGGAGUGAGAAAGAGACCAUGGGGAAAAUUUGCUGCAGAGAUCAGAAACCCUUGGAAGAAGACUCGGGUGUGGCUAGGUACGUUUGAUUCUGCUGAAGACGCGGCUAGGGCCUACGACGCUGCUGCUCUAUCUCUCCGGGGCCACAAGGCUAAGACGAACUUUCCGUUAUCCAACACCCAGAACGGCGUCUUCCAUGAAUUCAACCCUCAAAAUUUUAAUAAUCAACAGAUCAGUAAUCUGCCUAACGAUCCGUUCAUGGUGGAUCCUCGAUUUUACCCUCAGGACCACCAGAUAGUUGGCCCGCAGAGGCCUACCUCCAGCGGCAUGAGCAGCACCGUCGAGUCGUUUAGUGGACCCAGGCAGCUGGCACCUCCGCAACUUAUUCAGCCGCAAAGGAGAUAUCCCAGGUCGCCGCCGAUGUCUCCUGACGACUGUCACAGCGACUGUGAUUCCUCCUCCUCCGUUGUGGAUGAUGGUGAAUGCGACGUCGCCGCCUCCUUAUGUAAAAAGCCUUUACCUUUCGACCUCAACUUCCCGCCGCCAAUGGACGCUUAUGGUGUAGACUCUGACGUGUGCGACCUAGCUUGCACGGCCCUCCGACUUUGAUGUUGUGUCCUGAUGACGACCAAAUCAUUUGGAAAACUCAUCUAGUUAAAUUACUUAUUUCUUUUCCUUUUUUUAAUUUUUUGUUUUUAUUUUGCGGAGGAAAACCCUAAAAAAAUGAAAAAAA